Molecule: long non-coding RNA, 1066 nt
Filed under: Bos grunniens (domestic yak)
Lineage: Eukaryota; Metazoa; Chordata; Mammalia; Artiodactyla; Bovidae
Description: lncRNA (ENSBGRG00000022334.1)
Source: RNAcentral
AGAUUGAGGCUGUGGGCUUGACCUCCCUCCUUUGAGCCAGGUGGGAGAUGGCCCCGGAUUGCCGGCCCAAACUGGCGGCCCAGAAAGCGCAGGAGGCGCCCGGUGACUCCUUCCCCGCGGCGCGCCAAGCGGGCCGAACUCCGCGGCUGAGUCGCGCGGCUCCAGUCACUGCGCGCGGGCUCGGGCUCCGGCCUCGGAGAGCGGUAAACGGAAUCGGUUUCCCACGGUUUCCCCCUUCAUCCCAGGGCCUUUCAAAAGCCGCUCACGAAUUCCGUCGUCCAGUUUGCGCGGAUUCUGAGCCGCGCAUUCACCCAGUGCCACCUGGAAAGGGGACCCUCGAGCCUCCCGCAUCCCCGGGCCUCCAGCCCGUGCACACGGGGAGCAACUUCGUUCCCCUGAGCGCCCUGGCCCCACGACGCGGGCAGAGCUCCGCCCGGUAAAGGUGGCACUGUGGUCGCUCCGGAAUGCUGCCCGCGUGGACGCGGCCGCCGCCUUCUGCUCCCUGUUCCGGCUGCGCGCGGGCAGAGCCCUGGAAACAACGAAAACGGCGAGCAGCGUUGCUUUCCGGAUGUCGGAGUCCCGGAAGCCUCUGGGUGCGAGCCGGUCCUCCGCGUCCCCAGACGUCCCAGGGCCGAGCUCACCGCCGGGCCGCCGACGUGACCCCGGAGGAGGACCUGCGGGGAGAUGCUUCUCCGAGCCUCAGUUUCCCCACCUGUGCAACGGGGCCAUAAGUUCCUGCGCCCCUCCCAGGGUUGAUAUGGGAUUGGCGGGGAGAGAGGACCUGGAAAACGCCCGACGGGGCCCAGUUCUGCCCACCCUUUGGGGCCAGGUUUGCGCCGGUGGGGUUCAGCUGUCGUGCACAGACUCGAAGGGGCCCAGGUUGCGCCUAGCGAUCGUCGUCCUCCCUCCAUCUCCUCCAUCUCCCCCCGCCGCCCUCACCCCGGAACUUCCCUCUCCGCGGGCGCAGUGGUGGAGGUGUGAGGGUCCCGCUUGGCGCCCAGGCGUCUCUGCUCAGCCUCUGGCCGGGGUGUUGCUCGCCCUGGGCGGCUCUCUCAGGUUCCUUUGA